AGCAGCCGCGGUAAUUCCAGCUCCAAUAGCGUAUAUUAAAGUUGCUGCAGUUAAAAAGCUCGUAGUUGAAUUUCGGGACCAAUAUGUCGGUCGUGCUUCGGUACGUACUGUCAUAAUUGGUUUCUCCCUUCUGAAGAACCUUGAUGUCAUUAAUUUGGUGUCUUGGGGAAUCAGGACUGUUACUUUGAAAAAAUUAGAGUGUUUAAAGCAGGCUCGCGCUUGAAUACAUUAGCAUGGAAUAAUGAAAUAGGACGUUUGAUUCUAUUUUGUUGGUUUCUAGGAUCGACGUAAUGAUUAAUAGGGAUAGUUGGGGGCAUUAGUAUUCAAUUGUCAGAGGUGAAAUUCUUGGAUUUAUUGAAGACUAACUACUGCGAAAGCAUUUGCCAAGGAUGUUUUCAUUAAUCAAGAACGAAAGUUAGGGGAUCGAAGACGAUCAGAUACCGUCGUAGUCUUAACCAUAAACUAUGCCGACUAGGGAUCGGAUGAUGUUAAUUUUUAAUGACUCAUUCGGCGCCUUAAC
Molecule: ribosomal RNA, 520 nt
Filed under: uncultured Glomus
Lineage: Eukaryota; Fungi; Glomeromycota; Glomeromycetes; Glomerales; Glomeraceae
Description: SSU rRNA
Rfam family: Eukaryotic small subunit ribosomal RNA
Source: RNAcentral